UCGAGUCGUCGAUUUGAGUCGUAGGU
RNAcentral lists this small RNA (26 nucleotides) under Bombyx mori (domestic silkworm). RNAcentral's name for it is "ovarian small RNA-28410". Lineage: Eukaryota; Metazoa; Arthropoda; Insecta; Lepidoptera; Bombycidae. The record is from RNAcentral.